This 253-nucleotide ribosomal RNA is filed under the name uncultured bacterium. RNAcentral's name for it is "partial 16S ribosomal RNA". It matches the Rfam family "Bacterial small subunit ribosomal RNA", at positions 524 to 776 of the family's 1533-position model. The record is from RNAcentral.
UACGUAGGGGGCUAGCGUUGUCCGGAUUUAUUGGGCGUAAAGAGCGUGUAGGCGGCCAGGUAGGUCUGCUGUGAAAACUCGAGGCUCAACCUCGAGACGUCGGCGGAAACCAUCUGGCUAGAGUCCGGAAGAGGAGAGUGGAAUUCCUGGUGUAGCGGUGAAAUGCGCAGAUAUCAGGAAGAACACCCGUGGCGAAGGCGGCCCCCUGGGCCGUACCUGACGCUGAGGCGCGAAGGCUAGGGGAGCGAACGGG